RNAcentral lists this long non-coding RNA (1516 nucleotides) under Fragaria vesca (wild strawberry). Its description in RNAcentral is "long non-coding RNA (FVES_LNC003021)". The record is from RNAcentral. Lineage: Eukaryota; Viridiplantae; Streptophyta; Magnoliopsida; Rosales; Rosaceae.
UUCAAUGAAUAAGUAGGAAAGUAACUGGUUACGAAAUUGCAAUUCUAGCCACACUAUGAGAAAUUUUUCAAUGCUCCCGAAGGACUACGUGGUAGUCUGACGUGGUCUUAUAUUCUAUUCAAAUUUUGACACCUAUAUCUAUUACAACUAAAAUAUAAACUAAAGUUUUCUAUAUUUUGUGAAAUGAUCGUCAUGGGUCUUUUAUGAGUUUGGCCUAAGGUUUAGGGUAUACGAUUUAGGGGUUAGGGUAUAGGGUGUAUGGUUAGAGUAUAGGGUUUAGGGUAUAGGGUAUAUGGUUAGAGUAUAGGGUUUUCGGGUUUAGGGUUUAAAAAAUCAAUAAGAAACCCAAAAUGCUAUUUGACAAAAUCGCUAAAAUAGUUUUUCAUUAUGAAAAUCCACAUGUCAAAAUUUGAAUGGAAAAAAAAACCACGUCAGACUGCCACACAGUCCUUAAGGGAGCACUGAAAAAUUUCUCGCCACACUGUGGGCAACUUUAUUACUUUAGGCACAUCUUCUUCUUCUUUUUCUCAGAAAUGUCACCAAUAUCACAAAUGUUGCCCACUAAAUUUGUUCUAAUGAUAUUAGUUCUCUCUUCCUAACUGGUAAGUCAUGAAUUAUAAUCACACAACAGAAGACUAGCUGUUGUAAUUUCGGUUGUUGAUGUAAUAAAUAUAUUUUUGAUUGGGAGUGAGAGAUAACAACACACUUUAGUUACGUUAACAAGUUAGUAAUACAUUUAUCGAGUCAAUAGCACUCUAUGCGAGGAGAAUAUUCAAUAUAAUAAAUAUUUUUAAAUUUUGUCACCGCAUGUUUUAUUUUCAUCAUUUACAAAAAUUUAACUGUGUCCAAAAACUAUUAUCUUAAAUCGAAAAGUCUAUUGUGUAGACCUAAAAGUUACUGUCGUUUGUUGCCCAAAGUUUCUAAAUUCUUUUCAAGCCAAAUCUGCUCCGGCCAAAUCGAUAUUGUUCAGCCCUUUUCGUUGGUGGACUUGUCUCGUUGUGCUCCUCUCACCGCACCAAGUCUGCUCAUCGCAUGGAUCGUCUAUCUCAUCAUGGAAGACCACACAUUGAGCCUCAAAAGUUCACAAUUUUCCGACCGAAUCUCAUCUUUUAUCCGGCAAUUUUAUCAUAUCAUCAUGUCGACCCAAAUUUGGAAAUUAUAUAUAUAUUCUCAUGAAAAUUUACAUAUACGCACCUACUCAGGUGCUGAAUUUGAUCAUCUGAGUAUUUUGUUAUAAAAUGUGUGGAAUUUAGGGUCAAUGACAAAAUUAUUGACUGAUCGAGGUAACUAGGUAAGAUAUGGAUCAUGUUCUGGAUUCAAAUACCAAAUUUCAAGUUGUGGAAAACACAAGGCAAAUAAAAAGAUGGUACAGUUUACAAUCUGGAUCUUGGUCAAAUUUCCCAACUGGUACAUAUAAUUCAUUACAUAUAACAACUAAGGCACAAGUCUCAGUCUCACCAACGCAUAGACAAGUAGACAAAGCCAAGCACUUGGGUACAAACUGGAACUUGAAAAU